UUGGUUCGUGUCGUUACGUAACGUCGAAAAGGACGAAAAUUCGACAUCGCGUAUAUCGAGACCAAUUUGAUUGAUGGAUGUAGUUCUGCUGUACGCCAUAAAAAGCUCGUCGAAACAUAAAUGUUGCCCACGUUGACGUCUAACGGAUAAACAUUUUUUUAUUCACAAAAUCCCAAAACAGUUUUUCACAAAAAAAUUGAGUUAUUUUUUUUAUAUUUCAAUCAUGGUGAUUGGUUUAUUGAGAAAAUUGUGCGUGUUGUGUCGCUACGAUGUGGCGGCAGAAGUGAUUGUGAAUUCUAAGGAUUUUCAUUUGAGAUUCUAAUUAAAAUAUUUGUCACGUCGUUUCCUAAUUGGGGAAGCAAAAUGCGACAGAAAACGGACCAUCAAAGCAUACUUUUUGCGUUCCUUUUAUACUACGUAUACGAGAACAACUUAAUCAUAUCUGAAGCUUCUCUCGUCGGCGUUUCGGACAAGGGUAGUACAAAACCAACCCCUGAGCGACCCUAUUUCGACGAUAUCGGACCGAGAAACGUUACAGCCGUAGUAGGUCAGUCAACUCUUCUUAGUUGCAGAGUCAAACAUCCUGGGGAUAGAACAGUAUCUUGGAUGCGCAAAAGAGAUUUACACAUCCUAACAUCUGGGAUUCACACUUACACGGGAGAUGGUAGAUUUAGCGUGCGCCAUCCUGAACACAGCGACGACUGGGACUUGCGCAUCGAGUACGUUCAAAAGCGAGACGCCGGUGUCUACGAGUGUCAAGUGAACACCGAGCCGAAGAUUAACAUGGCGAUACUGCUGAACGUCGAGGACGCAUCCCAGAAGUACCGCGACGCCCAAGCGACCAUAUCCGGUCCGGUUGAAGUGUUCGUGAUGAAGGGAAGCACGAUUUCACUGACUUGUUCGGUGAACGUGCAUUCGACUCCUCCAUCUUCCAUUCAAUGGCUUCAUGGACCUAAUAUGGUCGAUUUCGAUUCGACAAGGGGAGGUAUCAGCUUGGAAACGGAAAAAACGGAAUCAGGAACUACGAGCAAAUUAUUAGUAACUAAGGCUUUGUUAACUGAUUCCGGUAACUACACUUGUAUGCCGUCCAAUGCUAGUCCUGCAUCUGCUAUAGUUCAUGUUUUAAACGGAGAACACCCAGCGGCAAUGCAGACCAGCUCAGCACUCGGUCACCAAAAAGAAGUAACCUUCUUAAUCAUCUUCCUCCUAUUAACUUUAAUAAGAUGAUCAAUUCGCUGAAAAUAAAUCUUUACAUUUACAAAAAUUCAAACAAUAUCACCUAUUUAUAAUCUGGGGAAUCUUAUUAAACGAAGCAAGAAAAAAAUCAAUCUUGACUUUAUCAAGAAUAAACGUUUAUAGCCAAAAUGGGACAUAGCGUAACCGAUGUUGUUUACUUGUGGUGCUAUUUCAACCGAACCGGUCGUGAGAGUGAAACGAAAAUUGUGUACAUAUGUAGUGUUUUACGAUAAGAAUGCGAGGAAAGUGUUAAUCGUGUUGACGGUAUAAACGACAACGUUAUUAGAUGCCAUAUAAAAUUAAUUUUUUAAUCGUUUUCUUUCCCUAUGAAUCGAAAAUUGUAUCACACAUUCGCGAUUCCGUUUUCGUACGGUUACAUUUUGUAGAGAUCUCUUCAUUGUACCUUGUAUCAUUCUGUAAAUAAACUCAUAUAAUACAAUAAUCA
This 1681-nucleotide unclassified non-coding RNA is filed under the name Onthophagus taurus. RNAcentral describes it as "lachesin-like, transcript variant X1". Lineage: Eukaryota; Metazoa; Arthropoda; Insecta; Coleoptera; Scarabaeidae. The record is from RNAcentral.